GUUGGUUCGACCCGAAGCCGGUGCGCUAACCGCAAGGAGGCAGCUGACCACGGUGGGAUCAGCGACUGGGGUGAAGUCGUAACAAGGUAGCCGUAGGUGAACCUGCAGAAGGAUCA
RNAcentral lists this ribosomal RNA (116 nucleotides) under uncultured eukaryote. RNAcentral's name for it is "partial small subunit ribosomal RNA". It matches the Rfam family "Bacterial small subunit ribosomal RNA", at positions 1410 to 1525 of the family's 1533-position model. The record is from RNAcentral.